Molecule: ribosomal RNA, 326 nt
Filed under: uncultured bacterium
Lineage: Bacteria
Description: bacterial SSU rRNA
Rfam family: Bacterial small subunit ribosomal RNA
Source: RNAcentral
GAUGAACGCUGGCGGCGUGCUUAACACAUGCAAGUCGAACGAGCACUUACAAUUGAUUCUUCGGAUGAAAGAGUUUGUGACUGAGUGGCGGACGGGUGAGUAACGCGUGGGUAACCUGCCUCAUACAGGGGGAGUAACAGUUAGAAAUAGACUGCUAAUACCGCAUAAGCGCACAGUAUCGCAUGAUACCGUGGUAGAAAACUCCGGUGGUAUGAGAUGGACCCGCGUCUGAUUAGCUAGUUGGUGGGGUAACGGCCUACCAAGGCAACGAUCAGUAGCCGGCCUGAGAGGGUGAACGGCCACAUUGGGACUGAGACACGGCCCAA